This is a non-coding RNA of Arachis ipaensis, 1117 nucleotides long. Lineage: Eukaryota; Viridiplantae; Streptophyta; Magnoliopsida; Fabales; Fabaceae. The record is from RefSeq and is a predicted model, not a curated record.
GUGGGCAUUGCGGGUUAUGGAACUGGAACCCGUUAUCGAGGAAACAGAGGCCGUCUCAACGGCGUCGUAUUCGGUCCAAUUCCGGUUCAACCGGCGGCCAGGGUUACAGGUUUCCGUUGAAACAGGCGGUGACCGCUGCCUCCCUUGCCCUCGCAGGAGACACAAUCGCACAGAUUAGAGACCGUUGGAGCAAAGCAAAGGCUGUUAAUAAGCACAGCAAUGACCCUCAGGAUGCAUUGAGCCAAAUUUCAGACCAUGAUUGGCUACGAGCUCUGCGAAUGACUUCUUAUGGAUUCCUUUUAUAUGGCCCUGGUUCUUAUGCUUGGUACCAAUGGCUUGACCGCCUUUUGCCGAAACCAUCGAUUCAGAACAUUGUGUUAAAGGUUUUACUAAACCAGAUUAUAUUAGGUCCAUGUGUCAUUGCUGUUGUUUUUGCGUGGAAUAAUUUAUGGCUAGGGAAGGUCAAAGAGCUUCCACAAAAAUACCAAAGAGAUGCUCUUCCAACAUUACUUUAUGGAUUUAGAUUCUGGAUCCCUGUCAGUGCAUUAAAUUUCUGGCUUUUUACUGCAUGGCGAAUAUCCUAUUUCCCUUCUGGGUAUGGGUGGUGCCUCUUCAAGCACGAGUAGCUUUCAUGUCAAUGGGCUCAAUAUUUUGGAAUUUCUACUUGUCAUCAACCAUGACCAAGUAAAAUGCAUGCUGUGUUAGCAAUUUUGCAUUCUUUCAAAUCUGUACAAGAUUGAUCAGAGUCUAACCGAUUUGGGUGACGACAGAAAGGGGUAAAUGUGCAAAUGGCUUCCAUGCUAACAUUUGUCAAAUGUGCAAAAGAUUUUACCCUCUUCUGAGAAACUGAUGAUAGCAAGAGAACCAUUGUAAUUGGAACUUUUUCUUUUGCCUUUUUCCCAUGAAAAUUGGAGUAUAGGUAUUACCUAUCCCAGAAAGGAGAAAAAGAUGGAAUAUGUGUCAUCACAUGUGUUAUUUUUUAAUGGAAAUCUCACAUUUCUCAAGAGUACUGUGUGCCAGUGUCACCCUCUUUACAAUGUUCUAAAGAUAAAUAGCAAUUUUGCUCUAUAGCACCUUUCAGAUGGGCUAAUAUAACUGUAUAAGUUUGUCUUUCUCA